Molecule: ribosomal RNA, 1530 nt
Filed under: Triticum aestivum (bread wheat)
Lineage: Eukaryota; Viridiplantae; Streptophyta; Magnoliopsida; Poales; Poaceae
Description: partial small subunit ribosomal RNA
Source: RNAcentral
AUGGACCCUGGCAGUGGUGGUCCUUGGGCAUCAGCUCAAAGAAACCGACUGCUCCCGAUCCGCUUGUCAAGAGAACCUGCCAACACUGAGUGGACGCCGCCCGCCGGUUCUCCGGCGGAGGAGCCGGUGAGCCCUACAGCAAGAGCCAUGGAAGAUAUAGGUAUUUAUAUCGUCGUCACGAUCGGCCUCGACACGCCGAUAAACCUGACCGCCUUCCAAGCCGGCAUUGAAGCUAUGCUUGCCCGAUGCCCGCGCUAUGGAUGCAUUCAAGUGGCGGAUGGGUCCAACAAUGGCGAGGCGCGAUGGGCGCGCACUACUGUGAACGUCCAAGAUCACAUGAUCGUGCCGAGGCUGGACCACGCGACCGACCCAGACAAGGCCGUGGAGGACUACAUCGCCUCGCUGUCCACGCUCCCCAUGGACCGCUCCCGCCCGCCAUGGGAGUUCCACUUCCUCGACUUCCCGACCUCCGAGGCGGCCUCCACGGUGGCGAUCCGCGUGCACCACGCCUACGGUGAUGGUAUGUCCACUAUGGCGCUUCUCAUGAUGUCCACGCGCAGCGCCGCCGCCGACACGAAAAGCCAUCCAGCCGCGCCUCCGCAUCGUCGUCCUACGCGCACGAGCGCCAUAUAUGCCCCGCAACGCCCCCCACUUUCCGCGGGCGUCCUGGCGUUCGUCGCAUGGGUCUGGUCGUAUCUUGUGCUCGCGUGGAACACUGCGGCAGAUAUUGCCUACUUCGCCGCCACGAUUAUGUUCUUGAGUGACCCGCGCACUCUCUUCAAGCGUGCCGACGACGGGUUCCACGCCAAGCGCUUUGCCCACCGGAGUCUUAGCCUCGAUGACGUCAAGUUCCUCAAGAACUCCAUGAACUGUACUGUCAAUGAUGUGUUGGUUGCACUGACUUCUGCUGCUCUAUCACGAUAUUACUUCCGCAAGUCCGGUGACACUAGGAAAAUCUGUGUGCGAUCACUCCUUCCUGUCAACACAAGACCAGCCACUAGCCUACAGACUUAUGUUAAUGUGAUAGAAUCUGAUAAGAGGAACGAGGUGACAUGGGGAAAUAAAUUGGGCUACAUCAUUCUUCCAUUUUAUCUAGCCAGACACGAUGAUCCACUUGCAUACAUUCACAAAGCAAAGAAGGUUCUGGAUAGGAAAAAGAGGUCCUUAGAAGUGAUAUUCACAUAUAAGAUUGCUGAGAUCUUCAUGAAUGUUUUUGGUGCCAAGGUAGGAACUUCUAUCUUCCGGUGUCUCUUUGCACGUACAACAAUUGUUUUCUCAAACAUGGUUGGACCAACCGAACAAGUAGAAUUAUGUGGACACCCAGUGGCUUUCAUUGCACCUAGUGUCUAUGGGAUUCCAGAGGCUCUGAUUAUUCACUACCAAAGUUACAGAAGCACUAUCAAGAUAAUUCUAUCAGUAGAUGAGGACAUGUUUCCAGACUAUCAUCAACUUCUGGAUGACUUUGACGAAACCCUCGCGGCCAUGAUGAAUGCGGCUUCAAGACCUUUAACAUUGACCAAGGACGACUAA